RNAcentral lists this ribosomal RNA (478 nucleotides) under Ilyonectria sp. RNAcentral's name for it is "eukaryotic LSU rRNA". The stretch from base 112 to 265 matches the Rfam family "5.8S ribosomal RNA". The record is from RNAcentral. Lineage: Eukaryota; Fungi; Ascomycota; Sordariomycetes; Hypocreales; Nectriaceae.
UGACAUACCUAUUUGUUGCCUCGGCGGUGCCUGUUCCGACAGCCCGCCAGAGGACCCCAAACCCUGAUUACAUUUAAGAAGUCUUCUGAGUAAACCGAUUAAAUAAAUCAAAACUUUCAACAACGGAUCUCUUGGUUCUGGCAUCGAUGAAGAACGCAGCGAAAUGCGAUAAGUAAUGUGAAUUGCAGAAUUCAGUGAAUCAUCGAAUCUUUGAACGCACAUUGCGCCCGCUAGUAUUCUGGCGGGCAUGCCUGUCCGAGCGUCAUUUCAACCCUCAAGCCCCCGGGCUUGGUGUUGGGGAUCGGCGAGCCUCCGCGCCCGCCGUCCCCUAAAUCUAGUGGCGGUCUCGCUGUAGCUUCCUCUGCGUAGUAGCACACCUCGCACUGGGAAACAGCGCGGCCACGCCGUUAAACCCCCAACUUCUGAACGUUUGACCUCGGAUCAGGUAGGAAUACCCGCUGAACUUAAGCAUAUCAAU